GUAGUCUCGCACAGAUGCAUAUCAAUAAGCGGAGGAAAAGAAACUAACAAGGAUUCCCUUAGUAACGGCGAGUGAAGCGGGAAGAGCUCAAAUUUGAAAUCUUCAAGGUUUUACCUUGACGAAUUGUAGUUUAAAGAAGUGUUUUCUGCUGAAGUUUUGGUAAAAGUUCUUUGGAAUAGGACAUCAUAGAGGGUGAGAAUCCCGUAUUUGACCAUUAUUUUCAGCUUUGUGAUACACUUUCAAAGAGUCGGGUUGUUUGGGAAUGCAGUCCAAAAUGGGUGGUAAAUUUCAUCUAAAGCUAAAUAUUGGCGAGAGACCGAUAGCGAACAAGUACCGUGAGGGAAAGAUGAAAAGAACUUUGAAAAGAGAGUUAAACAGUACGUGAAAUUGUCAAAAGGGAAGCGUUUGACACCAGUGUUGUUUUCUCGAAAAUCAAUUAAAAAGAGUUAGAUUUUGUUGUGUAUUGACCUUAACAGCUUGCAUUUCAAUUUUCUUGCUUUUUUUAAUGCACUUUUCGUUUAACAAGUCAACAUCAGUUUCUUUUGUUGUAAAAAGGUCAUUGGAAGGUGGCUUUCUUUUCGGAGAAAGUGUUUAUAGCCUUUGACUCCUGCAAUCGGAGAGACUGAGGUCUGCAGCGUAGAUCCUUCGGGGUUAGAUACAUUUGUGCUAAGUUAUAGCUUUUUAUAGACAACUUGUUGACUAUGAUUAGUCUUGUAGCUUACUCGCUUAUGCUAUUUUACCUACGCUUAGGAUGUUGAAGAUGUAGCACAUCAU
Molecule: ribosomal RNA, 774 nt
Filed under: uncultured Neocallimastigales
Lineage: Eukaryota; Fungi; Neocallimastigomycota; Neocallimastigomycetes; Neocallimastigales
Description: partial large subunit ribosomal RNA
Rfam family: Eukaryotic large subunit ribosomal RNA
Source: RNAcentral